RNAcentral lists this long non-coding RNA (8670 nucleotides) under Mytilus galloprovincialis (Mediterranean mussel). The record is from RNAcentral. Lineage: Eukaryota; Metazoa; Mollusca; Bivalvia; Mytilida; Mytilidae.
GGAAUAGUGUAAUCAAUUACCAUAGUUGUGCAGGAUGAUGGAACAUGUAAUCAGAUCAACACUUUACUAUUAAGGUUAAGUCAGUUGAACAAAAUAUAUUUACCAAUCCAUUUCAAUAGUCUAAACAAUCCAAAUUUAUUUCUAUAAUUUCUUGUAAAUUACUUUAUUUCUAAGAAAUAAAACAAUUUCCAUGAAAUAAAACAGUAAAGUGGAAUGAUGUGUCUCUGUGACACUCCUUUCUUGGCACUUUUAUUCUAUUUUCCCAAGGUUAUACUGUAAUAUAAAAGUGAGGACAUGUUGAAUCAUGAUUGAGACAGCUAUCCACCUAAGUUAAAAUAAAAUGGAUGUUAGCAAUUAUAGGCAACCUUACAGCCUUCUACAAUGAGAAAAAUCCAUACUUUGUUGUUGGCUAUAAAAGGUUCUGACAUGAAAAAUAUGAAAAUUCAAUUAAAAAACUAACGGCCUAUUUUAUGUACAAAAAUUAAUGAACAAAGAACAAAUAUGUUAUACAGCAACAAACAACAACCACUAGAUUACAGGCUCCUGACUUUGGACAGGCACAUUUGAAGGCUUGGGCAUCCCUCCCCUAACCUGGGACAGUGGUGUUACAGUACAACUUACGAACAAACAAAACAAAAAACAUUUGAAAAAGGAAUAACUCAUCAGAUGGAUGCAAAAAGAAAUACAUCUAACAAAAUAAGUAUUAAAAUUUGUCGCGGUUGACAAUGUUUUCUCAGGUUAAUAAUCUGCUCUAUCAUCCUCUCAGCUAUGUGUUAUUUAUAUAUUGUUUGUUUACAGUUCAGAUAUCGUAAUUUUUCGGCUCCAAGCAGUGAUAUCUCACAGGUAUAUAAAUUAAUUGUUAGCUAAUGUCUGGUUUUAAUGAUAUGGUGGCCUUGGUAACUAGAAAGAAUUUGAUUUCUUUUUUUUUUUAUAUUUUAAGGAUAGAUAUGAUAACCUAGAGAGAAACAUGAAAGGAAAGAAAAAUUUGAGAAGGGGAAAAAGGUAGGUUAUUCAGUCAUUUUCCAAAGGGUCCCAUAUUUUCCCUAAAAAUGUUAAGUAUUUCAAAGUUUUGUUAUUGCCUUGUACUGCAUUGCACUUUUUUUUUUAAUUCUUCUGAUAUCUUACUUCCCUGGUAUUGAACUUAUUACUUCUUUUGAAUACUAGGUUAAGGGUUCAAUCAGUUAUUAUUUAUAAAAAGCAGAUGAAACUGAUAAAACUGAUAUGACUAAAAAUUCCUGUGAAAUUACAUUGUAUGAUGAGAGAAAGCUUUGAUUACUAUGACUAAAAAUUCCUGUGAAAUUACAUUGUAUGAUGAGAGAAAGCUUUGAUUACUAUGACUAAAAAUUCCUGUAAAAUUACAUUGUAUGAUGAGAGAAAGCUUUGAUUACUAUGACUAAAAAUUCCUGUGAAAUUACAUUGUAUGAUGAGAGAAAGCUUUGAUUACUAUGACUAAAAAUUCCUGUGAAAUUACAUUGUAUGAUGAGAGAAAGCUUUGAUUACUAUGACUAAAAAUUCCUGUAAAUUUACAUUGUAUGAUGAGAGAAAGCUUUGAUUACUAUGACUAAAAAUUCCUGUGAAAUUACAUUGUAUGAUGAGAGAAAGCUUUGAUUACUAUGACUAAAAAUUCCUGUAAAUUUACUUGUAUGAUGAGAGAAAGCUUUGAUUACUAUGACUAAAAAUUCCUGUAAAUUACAUUGUAUGAUGAGAGAAAGCUUUGAUUACUAUGACUAAAAAUUCCUGUGUGAAAUUACAUUUGUAUGAUGAGAGAAAGCUUUGAUUAUUACUAUGACUAAAAAUUCCUGUGAAAUUACAUUGUAUGAUAGAGAAGCUUUGAUUACUAUGACUAAAAAUUCCUGUGAAAUUACAUUGUAUGAUGAGAGAAAGCUUGAUUACUUGACUAAAAAUUCUUUGAAAUUACAUGAUGAGAGAAAGCUUUGAUUACUAUGACUAAAAAUUCCUGUGAAAUUACAUUGUAUGAUGAGAGAAAGCUUUGAUUACCAUGACUAAAAAUUCCUGUGAAAUUACAUUGUAUGAUGAGAGAAAGCUUUGAUUACUAUGACUAAAAAUUCCUGUGAAAUUACACUGUAUGAUGAGAGAAAGCUUUGAUUACAAUGACUAAAAAUUCCUGUAAAAUUACAUUGUAUGAUGAGAGAAAGCUUUGAUUACUAUGACUAAAACUCUCAAACAAACUUGAGUAUUAAGGGGGCUUGCGGGUCUAAAUCAAAUUUUUUAUUUAAUAUAGGAUUUCGCUAUGUUUUUUAUACUUAAUAGAAAAAUGUAAGAAAAAAAUGGGGUCACCGUUCAUUUACGCUCACAAUAUGCAUUCGAAAGAAGCAUACAUUUUUGUUAAUGUCCUUUUUUUCUGAUGAACUAAUAGGAGAAAAAGCGGUAAUAUUGAAAUAAAAAAGAACUAAAUUACAGAAAUCGCUAAAAUUUUACAAUUAUUUAGUUUAAGGACAACUUAUUUGAAAACAACAAUAAAAAAUAUAGGUCACCAAUGAGUUAAAAAAGAUAUUUCAAUUUAAAUGCCAAAAAAUUGCAUUUUUGCACCAAAGGGAGAUAAUUUGGAGCUUUUUCAAUGAUAUCUACAUUUAAAAAGUCACCUGGGGCCAACAAGAAUUGAUUUCUUGGAAUGAUUUUUGUUCCAUAUGAUUAAGUUACAACUACUAAAGGUAAUUAAUAAAUUUUGUAAUGAAAAAUAAAUGUUGAUUUUUUCUUAACUUUUAUAUUUGUUUAAAUGCAGCUAGAAAAAGCAAUGUUUUAAUUGGAAAAAUAGUUCUGUUUAAACCAACAAAGAGACACAAUGAGAGUCAAAAUUCUAGAAUUUUCUGUUAUUGAUAUAUAUCUGUAUGUAGAUUUACUUGAAAUUGCUUUUUUUGUUCUUUCUUAAAAAAUGGCAAUAAUAAAUUGGUACAAUAAUUUCUGAAUUUACAUUCUUUUAUUAAGGUUUUUAAAGGCAGUGCUUUAAGGCCUGACUUUCAAGUCAUGAGGUUCAUCUUUCCUUACGCGACAUCCAAUAAAUCUAUGCUGAGGUUCAUUUGGCCAGAAAUAGAUCCGGAAAUGUUUAAUUUUCUCCUCUUCUUAUUGUGGUAUGAAAUGGUUUUUGUUUCUUUCAUUUACAUUGGGAAAUAAAGAAACGAUCAGUGUGUAUUGUUCGUUUUAAAAACUUUUUAUUAAUGUGUAUUUUGCAUUAUAAGCAGUCAACCUGAUUACAAACUAUCAUUUUUUUAAUUCCGUGUGGAAAAAGGUCGGGUCAAUUUCGAGUACUAUUUGCCUGUUUGCGAUCUAAUGAUAUUAUAAAAUCAUUUCAGUCGUUGAUAUUACAAUUAAAAGUCGACUGAACAUGAAUUAAUUGCAUAUUAUACAAUUUAAAGCAUUUCUGUACGUGAAGCCGUAUGACGUUAUAGUUAUUUCGGUCUCAGUUAUAUAAGUUGUAAAGUAUGAAAUUAUCGUUCCUGAAUCUGGGUCUCACUAAUUAGAGCGUCAAAAAGUGAUAAGAAGUGACAAUAAAAUUAAUUUAGCGAUAAGAAGCGUCAAGAAGACUAUUUAGCACCGAUACAUGAAUAAAAAAAAUAUCAAUGCAACAACUUAUUCCCAAUAGAUAUUAAAAAAAAAUGCAUUAUUUUAAUAAAGGGGCGGUUAUAAAACAUUUUUUUAUAUAUUACAUUGAUAAAAAAAAAUAUUUUUUUUUUAUAAACAAGAAAGGGAUUGUCUAGUUUUUAUUAGAUAUAAAGAAUAUGUUUUAUGCAAACACUAAAAAUUGGAAAUCAAAACAAAGAUUUUCCAAUUUCCUUUUAAAGAAUUUUUUUAAUCAAAACCAUGCAAUAUCAUUUCCUUUCUAUUAAACAGUGAAAUUUGUCGUUCUUCAUAGGGACAUAUCUAAUACGUGUGGCUUCACACUAUCACACCAAAUGAGAAUAACCUCGUGAGAGAAUAGUGAUUCGCUUGUCCCUUGUUUGUUAUUGUCGCUUCGUCACUAAAUUCUUCUUCUUGUCGCUGUUUGUCGCUAAAAUUCUUCUUGUCUCUUAUUAAUGAGACCGGUCAGUUCCGUCCUUUACUUCCGUUUCUGCACUGCCAAAACAAUCACACAAUUAACGAUACCUAGUCCUUGUUGUGUACCUGAGUGUCAUUUAAGAGGAGGACAUACAUUUCCAAAUGACUUAAUAAGAAGGAAAAGUUGGAUCAACGCCAUGGCUAAUACGUAGAUUGUCACAAUGAAAUCGUAGAGUCCAUCUCAAUCAGCUGUUGUUUGCAAGGCACAUUUUACCGAAAUCGACUACUUUCAGGAAACUAUGCAUGGUAAAACUUUAUUUUCUUUAAGAAAUAUAUACUGUUAUUUAUAUAAUCGCCAUGCAAUUAAACCAAAGUCUGUUUGCAACCGCAAUUAUCGUUUGAAAAUAAAAAAAAGGGGGGUUAAUCCAAGACGUCAUAAUGUUUGGGAUUACGAUUCAAUGUCAUCUGUUUGAGAUUUUUUGGUGAAUGCUAGAAUAAUAAGUUUUUCCUACAAGAGGUAUAUCAUACUGCUAAUUAUUUUAGCAGUUAUUAUGUUAAUGUAGGACGUAGCGACAGGAAUUCAUGAGCUAUAUGCCUCAGGCUUUCAUGAAAAAUAUUAAUGACAAUGUAAACAGGAACAAAACAUUGACAUGAAUGAUGCUCUCUUCUAUGUUAUAGUUAGGUAUGUGUGUUGCAAAGUUUCAAAAAAGCUAAUGUUAUAAAAAUAUUUUCAGGGCACAAACCCACUUUAAAGAGACUUGUCUACUGCCAUUCCCAUCCUAUUUUCAUGCACCAUUUGCAAGCAAGAGCCUGAAUGGUUUGCAAAAUUAAAAAUCAGGACGGUGUCCUGUUAAACCAAAAGAACUAAACUGGGUGAAAAUUGUAGAAAUCUAGAGGAAAGUUUUGAUUUGUGAAAUUGGUUUUCCUGACAAGUCAUUCAUCCUGCAGAAAGGAUUUAUAACUGUCCACCACCAACUGUCGAGCUAAUGUUGAGCUUCACAGAUGGAAUUACUCAAACACCAUCAAUGCCUAUGUUUUCAGCACAGAUUUCGCAAAUCAUGACACAGCUGUGCAUUUUUUGUACCUGUUAAGAGUUGUAUACUAAAUUUUAUUUUUAUAUAAAUAAAUAUAUAUUGUGUCAUUUUAGAACUUGUAUUUUGCCAAAGGAUGCAUAAAUGAAAGUGGUGCAAUUCAUUUUGCUUUGAUAUAUAGAUUUGAAUUACAAUUGUUCAUGUUAUUGUAAUGCAUAUAAAAAUAAGGAGAUGUGGUACAAUGUAUUUAUACAUGAUAUUUAGUGAGUUUAUCAAACUAAAGUGAAUAAGAAAUGGGUAUAAGCAGUUACUACAGGUACUACUGUACAAUCUCAAACAAUGAGAAAAACUCAUACGGUAAAGAGAAUUUCAUAUUUACAAGUAAGUUUUGUUUUUGCGUUGAAUAAUUUUCUUCUAUUGUCUUAAUUGCAAAUAUGGGAAGUGGUUAAAAUGCUAAUGAGACAGCUAUUAUGGCCACCAGAUGUCAUUGUUUCCUUAAUUAAAAACUCCUUUUUCAUUCAUACCGGUAGAUUACUUUAUCAAGUUUCUACUGAAAAAUAGUUUUGCUUGGAGUUAGAAUAAGAAAAAGUAUGGUCAUCAAAAGAGUUGACAUGUUACUAUGUACAUUUACCAUUAUGUUACUUGAUGUUCUUGCAAUACACACAGUACGGAGACUAGUCAAUCUUUGUGAACUAGGAUGGGAGUCAUUGAAUAUACAUAUAUAAUCAAUAAUUAAAAAUAGUCUAUUUAUAUUAAAAAGGAAAAGUUCUUAUAUGUCUUUAAAAUGCAUUUCAUGGCGAGGUACAGAAAAUAUACUGUAAACAGUAGACUAUAGAUAUAGGUGAACUAGGUACAAGAGAAAUCUAAAUCUUAAAUACUACAAACCACCUCUGUUCUGUUCUGAAAGAUAAUGAUAUAACUGGACCAGAAAUACACACAACCUGUAAUUAACUGCAUUUACAGCGCUUUCGCGCUUUGAUUCAUAUUGAAUAUAUUGCAAGUGUAUUUUCCAUUGCAUAUGAUUUAUAAAACGCUUUUUUUGCAGAUAUAUAUGCACAGAUAAACAUGAAAAUAUGAUGCAACUGAAACUUUUGUGGAAAUCCGUGGCUCCAAGGAGUUGAACACUUCUCUUACUCUCUGCUGGAAGGAGAAAUGCAGACUAGAGAGGUAAUUUUUUUCUUUCCUAGAUAAAUCUCUGAAGCAAUAUUGAGAUUAUGAAUACUAGUGAAAACCAGGUAAUGGUAACUUGCCUAAUCCAACACACUGGGGGACCAGAAAAAAAGUGGGAUCAAGCAAGGUGUCAGAAUACUCUGUUUUUUUCUGCAAGGAUAGGCACAUUUAGGUACCAUGAAAAUGUGUCGGUUAAAACAGGAUGUUUGAAUACUCGGGUGUCGGAUAAGGCAAGUUUCACUGUAUGCAUCACUGAAAGAUGCACAAUGGAUAUUAUUCCAUAUGCAUUUUUUUCAUUAUUCAGGUCAAGACUCUAGAUAAUAUAUGUUUAUUAGUGAUGUGUUUUGAUUAAAGAUAUGCUGACUUAGUGACCUACUAUUAAAACCCAGUUGCAACUGGAAACACAUUUUAAAUUAUAAAUGAUUUGAUGAUAGAACAACUGCUACCCCAGGGGCGGAUCCAGCCAUUUUAAAAAGGGGGGUUCCCAACCCAGAGUAAAGAGGGGGGGUGUUCCAACUAUAUGCUCCCAUUUAAAUGCAUUGAUCGUCCAAAAAAAAAAGGGGGGUUUCAACCCCCAGAAAUCCCCACCCCCUGGAUAUGGCCAAUGUACCCAGAGGAGGGUUUAUAUACAUUUUCUGAUUAAAAUAUGGUGGGAAGAAAAACUUUUAAAAACAUCUGUCUCUUUGAAAUCAUGAUUAUUUUAUUUUAACCGUAGAUAAAGUAAUUUCUAGUGAUGAUUUAGACAGAUAUAAGAAGAUGUGGUAUGAGUGCCAAUGAGACAACUCUCUAUCCAAGUCACAAUUUGUAGAAGUAAACCAUUAUAGGCAUAUAUAUAUAUAUUAUAUGUCUGUGUAUAUCUUGCAUUUCUAGAUAGAAAAUGACUGGUUCUUAAAAAUAUGCUGGAAUGCAAUAUUAAGUCUUCCUGGCAACUAUGCAUACAGACAUCUAACAUAUAUGAAGAUUGUAUUGAUUUCUGCUGUAGUCCAUGUGGACUUCUAAUAUCUAGACAGUAAAGCAUAUCAAGUACGGCUAAUUGGUCUUCUGUGGCAGCUUAUUUCCUGUUUUUAUUACUGAUAAAAUUAUAUACAGAAAUUAGUCAAAAAUAUGAUUGUUUUGAGAAUAGAAGAAAUUUAUGAUAUGAGAAAGGGUUAUUCCCAUGGUUGGUGGCAUUUACAGAAAAGUUUGGAAAAUAUCUAGAUAUUUAAUUGAAACCAGAGGUACACAGGGACAUGUUAUCUUAUAAAGUUGCUUUUUAGAAAUUUGAAUGAAAAUCAUUUCACUUUCUAAAAAUGUAAUAAAAAAUGGUUGCUCACCUACAGCAAAGGACAAUCACAAUGAUAAUUAGUUUGACAGUUUAAUUUUUUUCAUGAAUCCUCUUUUUUCAAACAAAAGUACCAAUUAAACUGAAUCUUUCUAGAACUAUACUCCAGAGGUACCUACCAGACAGUAGCCUAACAUCACCAAAAAGUUGGAAGACAGAGGUCAACAUUUAGUUACUGCAAUUCCAUAGAGUUACAAUGAUAAAAUCAACAGUUACAGGAACUUUGUCAAGUCUAGUCUUCAGUCAUGUAAAUGUAAUGAACUUCAACAAUGGGCAAGUGUUUAUAUGAUGUCAAGGUAUAAACUACGAAAAAGUCUUAGAGCUAAUUUCCUAUUGCUUGUAGAGUAAGUCUUUUGUUGGCUUGCUGCUUUGUUUGUAUAAAUGUUAGCUCAAGCAUAUUAAUUAAGAUUGACAUGUGCAAACAAAAUAGAUAGGCAUAGUUAAGUCUGUAUAUAUUACAUUUAAAUUACAAUUGUACAAUAUACAGACAAAGCAAGCUAACCAAAUUUUUACUCUACAUACAUAAGGAAAUUAUCUUUAAUCCAUGUUCUAAAUAAUAUUUGAUAUUAAAUGUUUUUUUAUGAAAUCAUGUCUUUGUUUUAAUAACACUUUAUGGACAUUUAAAGAUUUAAAGUAUAUUUGCACAAAAUCUGCAAAUGAGUAUGACCAGAGUGAAUGACAAUUACGAUCUGUAUUCAGAGGAACUAUCAAAAGAAGAUGUAUUAUGCAAAAAUAGUCUCCUUAAUCUAACCUGUAAAAUUUUUAAUCUAUUAGUGUGUUUGAGUUCUAUAAUUUUUAUAAAUAAAUAAUUAAAAAUCUGAUUUCAUAAUUACAUUUUCUUUUGCAGUGUAUUUUUAGGUAUGUAGUACACAUUACCUUGAGGAACACAAUCCUCUGUUGCUAACCCGGAACAUUGUAGCACUCAUUUUGUGUGAUCCAUGGAACAUUCUACGGGGAACACUAGCUUUUACAUAUAUGUACAAACAUAAGGUUAUUAGAACAAGAACUUUAGAACUUUAGAAAUAAAUUAAACCAUGUGCUUUUAUAUACUUAAUAUAAUAUUUACAGAGCCAAGCUACUAGUGAAUUGGUUCCGGAUAUUUCAAAUUGCCAAAAGGAAAAUUGAAACAGAGCACUAUGCAAUAUGUUAAUCACC